AGUGAACGCUGGCGGUAGGCCUAACACAUGCAAGUCGAACGGCAGCACAGUAAGAGCUUGCUCUUACGGGUGGCGAGUGGCGGACGGGUGAGGAAUACAUCGGAAUCUACUUUUUCGUGGGGGAUAACGUAGGGAAACUUACGCUAAUACCGCAUACGACCUACGGGUGAAAGCAGGGGAUCUUCGGACCUUGCGCGAUUGAAUGAGCCGAUGUCGGAUUAGCUAGUUGGCGGGGUAAUGGCCCACCAAGGCGAUGAUCCGUAGCUGGUCUGAGAGGAUGAUCGGCCACACUGGAACGGAGACACGGUCCAGACUCCUACGGGAGGCAGCAGUGGGGAAUAUUGGACAAUGGGCGCAAACCUGAUCCAGCCAUACCGCGUGGGUGAAGAAGGCCUUCGGGUUGUAAAGCCCUUUUGUUGGGAAAGAAAAGCAGCAGGUUAAUACCCCGCUGUUCUGACGGUACCCAAAGAAUAAGCACCGGCUAACUUCGUG
Molecule: ribosomal RNA, 492 nt
Filed under: uncultured bacterium
Lineage: Bacteria
Description: partial 16S ribosomal RNA
Rfam family: Bacterial small subunit ribosomal RNA
Source: RNAcentral